RNAcentral lists this ribosomal RNA (492 nucleotides) under uncultured bacterium. Its description in RNAcentral is "partial 16S ribosomal RNA". It matches the Rfam family "Bacterial small subunit ribosomal RNA", at positions 29 to 507 of the family's 1533-position model. The record is from RNAcentral.
AGUGAACGCUGGCGGUAGGCCUAACACAUGCAAGUCGAACGGCAGCACAGUAAGAGCUUGCUCUUACGGGUGGCGAGUGGCGGACGGGUGAGGAAUACAUCGGAAUCUACUUUUUCGUGGGGGAUAACGUAGGUAAACUUACGCUAAUACCGCAUACGACCUACGGGGGAAAGCAGGGGAUCUUCGGACCUUGCGCGAUUGAAUGAGCCGAUGUCGGUUUAGCUAGUUGGCGGGGUAAAGGCCCACCAAGGCGACGAUCCGUAGCCGGUCUGAGAGGAUGAUCGCCCACACGGGAGCUGAGCCACGGUCCAGGCUCCUACGGGACGCCGCAGUGGGGAAUAUUGGGCAAUGGGCGCAAGCCUUAUCCAGCCAUACCGCGUGGGUGAAGAAGGCCUUCGGGUUGUAAAGCCCUUUUGUUGGGAAAGAAAAGCAGCAGGUUAAUACCCCGCUGUUCUGACGGUACCCAAAGAAUAAGCACCGGCUAACUUCGUG